AUAUUGCACAAUGGGGGAAACCCUGAUGCAGCGUCGUCGCGUGAGGGAAGACGGUUUUCGGAUUGUAAACCCCUGGCUUUGGGGACGAAAAAAAUGCCGGUACCCAAGGAGGAAGCUCCGGCUAACUACGUCCCACCAGCCGCGGUAAUACGUAGGGAGCAAGCGUUGUCCGGAAUUACUGGGUGUAAAGGGAGCGUAGGCGGGAGACCAAGUCCAAUGUGAAAUCUAUCGGCUCAACCGGUAGCUGCGUUGGAAACUGGUUUUCUUGAGUGAAGUAGAGGCAGGCGGAAUUCCUAGUGUAGCGGUGAAAUGCGUAGAUAUUAGGAGGAACACCAGUGGCGAAGGCGGCCUGCUGGGCUUUUACUGACGCUGAGGCUCGAAAGCAUGGGUAGCAAACA
This 398-nucleotide ribosomal RNA is filed under the name uncultured bacterium. Its description in RNAcentral is "partial 16S ribosomal RNA". It matches the Rfam family "Bacterial small subunit ribosomal RNA", at positions 361 to 774 of the family's 1533-position model. The record is from RNAcentral.